AGUGAACGCUGGCGGUAGGCCUAACACAUGCAAGUCGAACGGCAGCACAGUAAGAGCUUGCUCUUACGGGUGGCGAGUGGCGGACGGGUGAGGAAUACAUCGGAAUCUACUUUUUCGUGGGGGAUAACGUAGGGAAACUUACGCUAAUACCGCAUACGACCUACGGGUGAAAGCAGGGGAUCUUCGGACCUUGCGCGAUUGAAUGAGCCGAUGUGGGAUUAGAUAGUUGGCGGGGUAAAGGCCCACCAAGGCGACGGUCCGUAGCUGGUCUGAGAGGAUGGUCAGCCACACGGGAACUGAGACACGGUCCAGACUCCUACGGGAGGCAGCAGUGGGGAAUAUUGGACAAUGGGCGCAAGCCUGAUCCAGCCAUACCGCGUGGGUGAAGAAGGCCUUCGGGUUGUAAAGCCCUUUUGUUGGGAAAGAAAAGCAGCAGGGUAAUACCCCGCUGUUCUGACGGUACCCAAAGAAUAAGCACCGGCUAACUUCGUG
RNAcentral lists this ribosomal RNA (492 nucleotides) under uncultured bacterium. RNAcentral's name for it is "partial 16S ribosomal RNA". It matches the Rfam family "Bacterial small subunit ribosomal RNA", at positions 29 to 507 of the family's 1533-position model. The record is from RNAcentral.